This is a long non-coding RNA of Camelina sativa (false flax), 530 nucleotides long. RefSeq lists it as uncharacterized. The record is from RefSeq and is a predicted model, not a curated record. NCBI's taxonomy places the organism in Eukaryota, Viridiplantae, Streptophyta, Magnoliopsida, Brassicales, Brassicaceae.
UAUUUAUCUAUCUAUUAGAUAUGAUUAUUUCAGAAACGUCAUCUCCCUGAUAAGUUUGUCGGUUUGGUGACAGCUUGGAAUUACUACGCCGACUUGAUUGCAGCUAAUGAUGCGCGAGUUGAGGCCUAUGAUGGUUGGGAUAAUCUUUUCUUUAUUAAUCCUGGCCUUUACGUGGCUUCCAUUGAGCUGGAGACUAUCCUUAGGAUUUUGAAGUUUACUCAAGUCAUUGUGAUGACCACGCGAAGAGUCCGAGGAAAGGUUUUACAAAUUGUCGGGUUAUGCUGAAGUUUUUGUUGAACAAGUUGUAGCUACUGAAGAGUCUGCUGAAGAGUUUCAAGCUGUUGAACAUCUUCCUGUCCGGUUUGAUGCAGCUUGUGCUGUCAUCCACUUCCUGAUGUCUCUGCUCUCCUCAAGGUCUCUCCUUGGGAAUGUCACGCACUACAAAAAACAUGUGUUUUGAAUCAUUUAUUUUAUAUAUUUGUAUUACUUAUAAUUGAUGCAAAUUAAUUUUACAUCAUUUAGUUAAGUGA